CUCAGGAUGAACGCUGGCGGCGUGCCUAAUACAUGCAAGUCGAGCGAACGGACAGGAGUGCUUGCACUCCUUGAAGUUAGCGGCGGACGGGUGAGUAACACGUGGGUAACCUACCUAUAAGACUGGGAUAACUUCGGGAAACCGGAGCUAAUACCGGAUAAUAUAUACCUCCGCAUGGAGGAAUAGUCAAAGACGGUUCUGCUGUCACUUAUAGAUGGACCCGCGGUGUAUUAGCUAGUUGGUGAGGUAACGGCUCACCAAGGCAACGAUACAUAGCCGACCUGAGAGGGUGAUCGGCCACACUGGGACUGAGACACGGCCCAGACUCCUACGGGAGGCAGCAGUAGGGAAUCUUCCGCAAUGGACGAAAGUCUGACGGAGCAACGCCGCGUGAGUGAAGAAGGUUUUCGGAUCGUAAAACUCUGUUGUAAGGNNAGAACAAGUACGUUAGNAACUGAACGUACCUGA
This 468-nucleotide ribosomal RNA is filed under the name Macrococcoides caseolyticum. RNAcentral's name for it is "bacterial SSU rRNA". It matches the Rfam family "Bacterial small subunit ribosomal RNA", at positions 23 to 482 of the family's 1533-position model. The record is from RNAcentral. Lineage: Bacteria; Bacillati; Bacillota; Bacilli; Caryophanales; Staphylococcaceae.